UACGUAGGGGGCAAGCGUUGUCCGGAAUCAUUGGGCGUAAAGAGCGCGUAGGCGGCCCUGUAAGUCCGCUGUGAAAGUCAAGGGCUCAACCCUUGAAUGCCGGUGGAUACUGCAGGGCUAGAGUCCGGAAGAGGCGAGUGGAAUUCCUGGUGUAGCGGUGAAAUGCGCAGAUAUCAGGAGGAACACCGAUGGCGAAGGCGGCUCACUGGACCGGUUCUGACGCUGAGGCGCGAAAGCGUGGGGAGCAAACGGG
Molecule: ribosomal RNA, 253 nt
Filed under: uncultured bacterium
Lineage: Bacteria
Description: partial 16S ribosomal RNA
Rfam family: Bacterial small subunit ribosomal RNA
Source: RNAcentral